Molecule: ribosomal RNA, 433 nt
Filed under: uncultured bacterium
Lineage: Bacteria
Description: partial 16S ribosomal RNA
Rfam family: Bacterial small subunit ribosomal RNA
Source: RNAcentral
AACGAACGCUGGCGGCAUGCCUAACACAUGCAAGUCGAACGAGACCUUCGGGUCUAGUGGCGCACGGGUUCGUAACGCGUGGGAACCUGCCCUUAGGUUCGGAAUAACUCCCCGAAAGGGGUGCUAAUACCGGAUAAUGUCUUCGGACCAAAGAUUUAUCGCCUUUGGAUGGGCCCGCGUUGGAUUAGCUAGUUGGUAGGGUAAAAGCCUACCAAGGCGACGAUCCAUAGCUGGUCUGAGAGGAUGAUCAGCCACACUGGGACUGAGACACGGCCCAGACUCCUACGGGAGGCAGCAGUGGGGAAUAUUGGACCAUGGGCGAAAGCCUGAUCCAGCAAUGCCACGUGAGUGAUGAAGGCCUUAGGGUUGUAAAGCUCUUUUACCCGGGAUGAUAAUGACAGUACCGGGAGAAUAAGCCCCGGCUAACUCCGUG